UACGGAAUGUGCAAACGUUAUUCGGAAUCACUGGGCUUAAAGAGUCCGUAGGCGGCAUGUUAGGUGAGGUGUGAAAUCCCCCGGCUCAACCGAGGAAUUGCGCUUCAAACCGGCGUGCUUGAGGAAGAUAGAGGUGGGCGGAACUGAUGGUGGAGCGGUGAAAUGCGUUGAUAUCAUCAGGAACACCAAUGGCGAAGGCAGCUUGCUGGGCCACUCCUGACACUGAGGUACGAAAGCGUGGGGAGCGAACAGG
This 253-nucleotide ribosomal RNA is filed under the name uncultured bacterium. Its description in RNAcentral is "partial 16S ribosomal RNA". It matches the Rfam family "Bacterial small subunit ribosomal RNA", at positions 524 to 776 of the family's 1533-position model. The record is from RNAcentral.